UUAUACAGCGAAACUGCGAAUGGCUCAUUAUAUAAGUUAUCGUUUAUUUGAUAGUACCUUACUACUUGGAUAACCGUGGUAAUUCUAGAGCUAAUACAUGCUAAAAAUCCCGACUUACGAAGGGAUGUAUUUAUUAGAUUAAAAACCAAUGCCCUUCGGGGCUCACUGGUGAUUCAUAAUAACUUCUCGAAUCGCAUGGCCUUGCGCCGGCGAUGGUUCAUUCAAAUUUCUUCCCUAUCAACUUUCGAUGCUAGAGUAGUGUUCUAGCAUGGUUACAACGGGUAACGGAGGGUUAGGGCUCGACCCCGGAGAAGGAGCCUGAGAAACGGCUACUACAUCCAAGGAAGGCAGCAGGCGCGCAAAUUACCCAAUCCCGACACGGGGAGGUAGUGACGAUAAAUACUGAUACAGGGCUCUUUUGGGUCUUGUAAUUGGAAUGAGUACAAUUUAAAUCCCUUAACGAGGAACAAUUGGAGGGCAAGUCUGGUGCCAGCAGCCGCGGUAAUUCCAGCUCCAAUAGCGUAUAUUAAAGUUGUUGUGGUUAAAAAGCUCGUAGUAGAACCUUGGGCCUGGCUGGCCGGUCCGCCUCACCGCGUGCACUGGUCCGGCCGGGCCUUUCCCCCUGUGGAACCUCAUGCCCUUCACUGGGUGUGUGGGAAAACAGGACUUUUACUUUGAAAAAAUUAGAGUGCUCCAGGCAGGCCUAUGCUCGAAUACAUUAGCAUGGAAUAAUAGAAUAGGACGUGUGGUUCUAUUUUGUUGGUUUCUAGGACCGCCGUAAUGAUUAAUAGGGACAGUCGGGGGCAUCAGUAUUCAAUUGUCAGAGGUGAAAUUCUUGGAUUUAUUGAAGACUAACUACUGCGAAAGCAUUUGCCAAGGAUGUUUUCAUUUAUCAGGAACGAAAGUUAGGGGAUCGAAGACGAUCAGAUACCGUCGUAGUCUUAACCAUAAACUAUGCCGACUAGGGAUCGGACGAUGUUAUUUUUUGACUCGUUCGGCACCUUACGAGAAAUCAAAGUGCU
Molecule: ribosomal RNA, 1022 nt
Filed under: Colletotrichum musae
Lineage: Eukaryota; Fungi; Ascomycota; Sordariomycetes; Glomerellales; Glomerellaceae
Also listed under: 2 other names
Description: SSU rRNA
Rfam family: Eukaryotic small subunit ribosomal RNA
Source: RNAcentral